Molecule: ribosomal RNA, 806 nt
Filed under: uncultured bacterium
Lineage: Bacteria
Description: bacterial SSU rRNA
Rfam family: Bacterial small subunit ribosomal RNA
Source: RNAcentral
UAAGCUAGAGUAUNUCAGAGGGGGGUAGAAUUCCACGUGUAGCAGUGAAAUGCGUAGAGAUGUGGAGGAAUACCGAUGGCGAAGGCAGCCCCCUGGGAUAAUACUGACGUUCAUGCUCGAAAGCGUGGGUAGCAAACAGGAUUAGAUACCCUGGUAGUCCACGCCCUAAACGAUGUCAAUUAGCUGUUGGGGCACUUGAUGCCUUAGUAGCGAAGCUAACGCGUGAAAUUGACCGCCUGGGGAGUACGGUCGCAAGAUUAAAACUCAAAGGAAUUGACGGGGACCCGCACAAGCGGUGGAUGAUGUGGAUUAAUUCGAUGCAACGCGAAGAACCUUACCUGGUCUUGACAUGUACGGAAUCUUCCAGAGACGGAAGAGUGCCUUCGGGAGCCGUAACACAGGUGCUGCAUGGCUGUCGUCAGCUCGUGUCGUGAGAUGUUGGGUUAAGUCCCGCAACGAGCGCAACCCUUGUCAUUAGUUGCCACCAUUCAGUUGGGCACUCUAAUGAGACUGCCGGUGACAAACCGGAGGAAGGUGGGGAUGACGUCAAGUCCUCAUGGCCCUUAUGACCAGGGCUUCACACGUCAUACAAUGGUCGGUACAGAGGGUAGCCAAGCCGCGAGGUGGAGCCAAUCUCAGAAAACCGAUCGUAGUCCGGAUUGCACUCUGCAACUCGAGUGCAUGAAGUCGGAAUCGCUAGUAAUCGCAGGUCAGCAUACUGCGGUGAAUACGUUCCCGGGUCUUGUACACACCGCCCGUCACACCAUGGGAGUGGGGGAUACCAGAAGUAGGUAGGCUAACCGCAA